AAGAUGAUUCGGUAUCCACACCAAUUGGAAUAACUGAAAUGGGUAAAUAAUAUUAAUUCUACAACAUUUCCUAUGGCAAAGAGGUGGUUUCCUAAAGCACAGAAACCAUUUGAAGGAGAGCAUGUAAAUAGCAUCAGAAAGGGAGCCUAAUAUGCUCCCCACAUGACCAAACCACAAACCUUGCAGAACAGAAGUGCAUGCUUAAAGUGACACUAUAGGUACUUAGACCACUUAAUCUCAUUUAAGUGGUCUGGAUGCAUAGUCCCAGGUCUCUUAACCCUGCAAAGGUAAUUAUUACCCAAGGGUAGAGUAUAGAAUAUUUAAUACAGUUCUAACCUAAACACCUGAGGAAAGGGAUUUGGUGGUAAUUAUUUCAGACAUAAAGGUAGACAGAUAAUGUAAUAGAGCUGAAGGCAUGUACCGUACCAAUAGUGGAGACCGUAUUUCGAGAAGGGUAUUGAUACUUUGGAGAAAGUUCAGAGAAGGGCUACAAAACUGGUACAUGGUUUGCAGGAUAAAACUUACCAGGAAAGGUUAAAGGAUCUUAACAUGCAUAGCUUGGAGGAAAGACUAGAUGGGGGAUAUAAUAGAAACAUUUAAAUAUAAAUAGG
Pelobates cultripes (western spadefoot toad) is the source of this 611-nucleotide non-coding RNA. The record is from the annotation of a GenBank genome assembly. NCBI's taxonomy places the organism in Eukaryota, Metazoa, Chordata, Amphibia, Anura, Pelobatidae.